Neodiprion fabricii is the source of this 359-nucleotide long non-coding RNA. RefSeq lists it as uncharacterized. Lineage: Eukaryota; Metazoa; Arthropoda; Insecta; Hymenoptera; Diprionidae. The record is from RefSeq and is a predicted model, not a curated record. The transcript has 3 exons.
UUGCAACGUUGAUAGUGAAAAAUCGGCAAAAGUGGCAGAGAGACUGCGGAUGAAUAAAUCAAAAUCCGUACGGUAUUUGGCCAGAGAGGCUUUUGCCGAAAAUAGCCCGUCUAUCGUCACCUGCCAGUCAGUCCCACGGCCCUAUAUCUUGUUACGCACCUUACUGCAACGUCCACUAUACAGGAUGCAGUUUUACCUGCGACAAGGAACGCGUAAAAGUUUAAGAAAGGUGAAUCACCACCUCGUCGGGUUUAUUUGCAUUUUACCAGGCGUCAAAGACCAGCAAACCUUUAUCAACCGUAAAUCACUUCGAUAUGUAUCGGCUUAUAACGGUUAUGAUCGGAGAUCGUGGGGACAAU